UUCAUCCGCUUCCGGAGUUUGGAGGGUAAGAAUUUCCCGGAAUAAGGACAGGCCGCGUGCUGCUUAGCCAAGCCUGUCCCGACAAUUCAAUAGGCGGCUAAACCUGUAGAGGCCCCUAUUCUGCACGUCAGGACGCGGGUUCGAUUCCCGCCACCUCCAA
This 160-nucleotide transfer-messenger RNA is filed under the name Treponema sp. RNAcentral's name for it is "partial transfer-messenger RNA". It matches the Rfam family "transfer-messenger RNA", at positions 208 to 374 of the family's 374-position model. Rfam says of the family: Bacterial tmRNA, also known as 10Sa RNA or SsrA, is named for its dual tRNA and mRNA-like properties. Its role is to liberate the mRNA from a stalled ribosome. The record is from RNAcentral. Lineage: Bacteria; Pseudomonadati; Spirochaetota; Spirochaetia; Treponematales; Treponemataceae.